RNAcentral lists this ribosomal RNA (500 nucleotides) under uncultured bacterium. RNAcentral's name for it is "partial 16S ribosomal RNA". It matches the Rfam family "Bacterial small subunit ribosomal RNA", at positions 30 to 523 of the family's 1533-position model. The record is from RNAcentral.
AUUGAACGCUGGCGGAAUGCUUUACACAUGCAAGUCGAACGGCAGCACGGACUUCGGUCUGGUGGCGAGUGGCGAACGGGUGAGUAAUGUAUCGGAACGUGCCCAGUCGUGGGGGAUAACGUAGUGAAAAUUACGCUAAUACCGCAUACGAUCUAUGGAUGAAAGCGGGGGAUCGCAAGACCUCGCGCGCUUGGAGCGGCCGAUAUCAGAUUAGGUAGUUGGUGGGGUAAAGGCCCACCAAGCCAACGAUCUGUAGCUGGUCUGAGAGGACGACAAGGCACACUGGAACUGAGACACGGUCCAGACUCCUACGGGAGGCAGCAGUGGGGAAUUUUGGACAAUGGGGGAAAGCCUGAUCCAGCCAUUCCGCGUGCAGGAUGAAGGCCCUCGGGUUGUAAACUGCUUUUGUACAGAACGAAAAGGUUUCUACUAAUACUAGGAGCUCAUGACGGUACUGUAAGAAUAAGCACCGGCUAACUACGUGCCAGCCGCCGCCGUAA